Molecule: ribosomal RNA, 305 nt
Filed under: uncultured bacterium
Lineage: Bacteria
Description: bacterial SSU rRNA
Rfam family: Bacterial small subunit ribosomal RNA
Source: RNAcentral
CCCCUACGGGAGGCAGCAGUGGGGAAUAUUGAACAAUGGGGGAAACCCUGAUGCAGCGACGCCGCGUGAGUGAAGAAGUAUUUCGGUAUGUAAAGCUCUAUCAGCAGGGAAGAAAAAAGACGGUACCUGACUAAGAAGCCCCGGCUAACUACGUGCCAGCAGCCGCGGUAAUACGUAGGGGGCAAGCGUUAUCCGGAUUUACUGGGUGUAAAGGGAGCGUAGACGGCGCGGCAAGUCUGAAGUGAAAGGCAGGGGCUUAACCCCUGAACUGCUUUGGAACUGUUAAGCUGGGGUGUCGGAGAGGG